Long non-coding RNA from Acromyrmex echinatior (Panamanian leafcutter ant), 788 nucleotides. Lineage: Eukaryota; Metazoa; Arthropoda; Insecta; Hymenoptera; Formicidae. The record is from RefSeq and is a predicted model, not a curated record.
GACAUGUUUACUCUCAAGUUUUCUUUAGUUCAUGAAACAUAACCUCACUGUAACAUAUUACUGAACAUAUGUAAAUAAAACAACGACAUUCUCUGAUGCACAAAUUACAAAAAGGAGAUAAAGGUAAAAGGAAGAAGGGAAAGUUUUCAACGGAAUGGUGAAUUUGUCAAUAAACAUGACCAUGACUAACAUCUUAAAGAACAAGAACUUGUCUUUUGAGGACAAGCUAUUCAAGAGAAGCAGAAAAGAAUGGCGAAAGAAGAAAGGCCGGCAAGCUCCAACCAUCAUUGACAAAAAGUACAAGAACAUCAAACCACAUAUUUCUUAGUAUAUCAGCUUGGUACAGUGGUAUGGUUGCCCAAACUCCUACUUUGAAACACAGAGACAACAAGAAACAGAAGUAAUAUAGUUCCACAAAUACUUAGUACAAUCGUGGGUCCUAUCCGAGUGAAAGCCAAGUAAUCAAGCCAUUGGAGAAUCAGGAAAGAAAACUACAAAGGCAAUUGAUAACGUUCAAGAUAAAGUAUCAUUCGUUAGAAAAGAGACGGACGUUAAGUCAGAUAUGUCAGACAGUAAUCAUUUACAAAUAGAUCUUCGUCUGACGAUGGCUGGGAAAGAUCAAAUAGAGAAGAAACGAAAAUUGAAGAAACAGAAACAGAAGAAAAAUCGAUAGAAGAUAAAGAAUAAUAUCGAGAAACAAGACAAUGAUGACAAGCUGAAGAAAGCAUUGGAAAAGGGAAAGGAAAAUACAAAGGAAGCAGAUGGUUGAAAAUAGGCAAGGAUAGGAA